CCUGGACAAGCUGCAGAGUUCCACAGCAAAGACUGGAGUAUCUGUACAUAGGACGACAAUAAGCCGUAUGCUCCAUAGAGUUGAGCUUUAUGGCAGAGUGGCCAGAAGAAAGCCAUUACUUUCAGCAAAAAACAAAAUGUAUGGAGGAAGGUGCUCUGGUCUGAUGAGACUAAAAUUGAACUUUUCGGCCAUCAAAGAAAACGCUAUGUCUCGCGCAAACCCGACACAUCACACCACUCAAAGAACACCAUGCCCACAGUGAAAC
Pelobates cultripes (western spadefoot toad) is the source of this 265-nucleotide non-coding RNA. The record is from the annotation of a GenBank genome assembly. NCBI's taxonomy places the organism in Eukaryota, Metazoa, Chordata, Amphibia, Anura, Pelobatidae.